GGAAUAUUGGUCAAUGGGCGGAAGCCUGAACCAGCCAUGCCGCGUGCGGGAAGACGGCCCUACGGGUUGUAAACCGCUUUUGUGUGCGAGCAAUAAGGGCGCUUCGGGCGUCCGAUGAGAGUAGCAUACGAAUAAGCAUCGGCUAACUCCGUGCCAGCAGCCGCGGUAAUACGGAGGAUGCGAGCGUUAUCCGGAUUCAUUGGGUUUAAAGGGUGCGUAGGCUGUGCGUUAAGUCAGGGGUGAAAUACCGGCGCUCAACGUCGGGGCUGCCCUUGAUACUGGCGUGCUGGAGUGCGGAUGCCGCCGGAGGAAUGAGUGGUGUAGCGGUGAAAUGCUUAGAUAUCACUCAGAACACCGAUUGCGAAGGCAUCUGGCGAAUCCGCCACUGACGCUGAGGCACGAAAGCGUGGGGAUAGAACA
This 420-nucleotide ribosomal RNA is filed under the name uncultured bacterium. Its description in RNAcentral is "bacterial SSU rRNA". It matches the Rfam family "Bacterial small subunit ribosomal RNA", at positions 358 to 774 of the family's 1533-position model. The record is from RNAcentral.